UAGGGAAUCUUCGGCAAUGGGGGCGACCCUGACCGAGCAACGCCGCGUGAGUGAAGAAGGUUUUCGGAUCGUAAAGCUCUGUUGUAAGAGAAGAACGUGUGUGAGAGUGGAAAGUUCACACAGUGACGGUAACUUACCAGAAAGGGACGGCUAACUACGUGCCAG
RNAcentral lists this ribosomal RNA (165 nucleotides) under uncultured bacterium. RNAcentral describes it as "partial 16S rRNA". It matches the Rfam family "Bacterial small subunit ribosomal RNA", at positions 355 to 511 of the family's 1533-position model. The record is from RNAcentral.